CAGGCUUAACACAUGCAAGUCGAGGGGCAGCAUGGUCUUAGCUUGCUAAGGCCGAUGGCGACCGGCGCACGGGUGAGUAACACGUAUCCAACCUGCCGUCUACUCUUGGACAGCCUUCUGAAAGGAAGAUUAAUACAAGAUGGCAUCAUGAGUCCGCAUGUUCACAUGAUUAAAGGUAUUCCGGUAGACGAUGGGGAUGCGUUCCAUUAGAUAGUAGGCGGGGUAACGGCCCACCUAGUCUUCGAUGGAUAGGGGUUCUGAGAGGAAGGUCCCCCACAUUGGAACUGAGACACGGUCCAAACUCCUACGGGAGGCAGCAGUGAGGAAUAUUGGUCAAUGGGCGAGAGCCUGAACCAGCCAAGUAGCGUGAAGGAUGACUGCCUUAUGGGUUGUAAACUUCUUUUAUAAAGGAAUAAAGUCGGGUAUGGAUACCCGUUUGCAUGUACUUUAUGAAUAAGGAUCGGCUAACUCCGUGCCAGCAGCCGCGGUAAUACGGAGGAUUCGAGCGUUAUCCGGAUUUAUUGGGUUUAAAGGGAGCGUAGAUGGAUGUUUAAGUCAGUUGUGAAAGUUUGCGGCUCAACCGUAAAAUUGCAGUUGAUACUGGAUAUCUUGAGUGCAGUUGAGGCAGGCGGAAUUCGUGGUGUAGCGGUGAAAUGCUUAGAUAUCACGAAGAACUCCGAUUGCGAAGGCAGCCUGCUAAGCUGCAACUGACAUUGAGGCUCGAAAGUGUGGGUAUCAAACAGGAUUAGAUACCCUGGUAGUCCACACGGUAAACGAUGAAUACUCGCUGUUUGCGAUAUACGGCAAGCGGCCAAGCGAAAGCGUUAAGUAUUCCACCUGGGGAGUACGCCGGCAACGGUGAAACUCAAAGGAAUUGACGGGGGCCCGCACAAGCGGAGGAACAUGUGGUUUAAUUCGAUGAUACGCGAGGAACCUUACCCGGGCUUAAAUUGCAGAUGAAUUACGGUGAAAGCCGUAAGCCGCAAGGCAUCUGUGAAGGUGCUGCAUGGUUGUCGUCAGCUCGUGCCGUGAGGUGUCGGCUUAAGUGCCAUAACGAGCGCAACCCUUGUUGUCAGUUACUAACAGGUUCUGCUGAGGACUCUGACAAGACUGCCAUCGUAAGAUGUGAGGAAGGUGGGGAUGACGUCAAAUCAGCACGGCCCUUACGUCCGGGGCUACACACGUGUUACAAUGGGGGGUACAGAGGGCCGCUACCACGCGAGUGGAUGCCAAUCCCAAAAACCUCUCUCAGUUCGGACUGGAGUCUGCAACCCGACUCCACGAAGCUGGAUUCGCUAGUAAUCGCGCAUCAGCCACGGCGCGGUGAAUACGUUCCCGGGCCUUGUACACACCGCCCGUCAAGCCAUGGGAGCCGGGGGUACCUGAAGUGCGUAACCGCGAGGAGCGCCCUAGGGUAAAACUGGUGACUG
This 1430-nucleotide ribosomal RNA is filed under the name uncultured organism. Its description in RNAcentral is "16S ribosomal RNA". It matches the Rfam family "Bacterial small subunit ribosomal RNA". The record is from RNAcentral.